This is a non-coding RNA of Paramuricea clavata, 735 nucleotides long. Lineage: Eukaryota; Metazoa; Cnidaria; Anthozoa; Malacalcyonacea; Plexauridae. The record is from the annotation of a GenBank genome assembly.
GUAUUUACAGCUAUAGGUUUUGUUAUUUGGUGCAGUUAGGCUAUAACGUUUUUACGCGAUGAAUUUUGCACGAGGGUUUUGUCUUCUUAAAUGUUUCGUUUUAUUUGCAUGAACAUUGCCAAAACGAUAUUCAUUUGAAUAGAAGUGCGCAGUUCACAAAAUCCUAAAGAUCACAAAACCAAAGCAUGGAUACAAAAUUCUUCAAAAUUUAGAAUUAUAAGAGUACUUACAUUCGUGCAGGAAAAUAAAAAUUUUGCCCUCUGCCAUUUAUAGGAAUAUUGGAAUUGCAAACUUUGUUCAUGCAGAUUCUCAUUUUGGUCGCUAUCCAGAUUGAUGAUUGAGAAAGACCCUUCCAGUAUAUAUACUUAAAAUCCAGGAGCAAGAAUAUCUAUACAGCAUGUCAUAUAGAACAUGCAUGCAUUGUGCUUUCCCCGUGAUUAAGCCUAUAAUAUUAACUUGUAUACUGUAUAUAUGUAACUGUGUAUAAAAACAAGAUGAAACAAAUGCUUUGUGAAACGUGAUUAAUAAAAUUUAUAAUAAAUAUGUUUAUGUUUUAAUUAUUUGUAUAUCUAUAAUUGUGAAAGGCAUCCUAAUUGUUGGAGACAAUCAUGCAGCAACCAUGCGGCGUAUCAAGGAAUUAUGCUUAAAUUUGCAAGUCGAAAGUGCUAUUGUAGCGUGAAUUGUGAAAGAAUCUCUUCGUGCAUGGAGUAGAAAUUACACCAUUCCAUGUUGGGC